AGUUGUCGGAGCAUGUAUUCAAUAAAUAAAAAUAUUUAUGAGAAUGUGAUAAAUAGGAACUUUUAUAUUCUCUCCAAUUGCCUGAUGCUUGGAAGACUUGAGUGACUACAAUCAUCAUUUGUUAUUGUUUGAUUUCAAAAUGAUACCAUUUCAAAGGUCACGAAACUAGUCAUCAUUAAAAUAAAGAUUGUGGGACAAUAAGGACUUUUUCUGCGAAUUCAAUGAAUUACUGAGAAAUCGAAAGAGAUGUUUAUGAAUGUGAUAAUCAUGAUAGGCUAAUUGAGUGGAUAAUGUUUGUCUUUUUGUUUUAUAUAUUCGGCAACUGAAUAAAGCUAUAUAUUCAUGA
Harmonia axyridis is the source of this 346-nucleotide long non-coding RNA. RefSeq lists it as uncharacterized. The transcript has 2 exons. The record is from RefSeq and is a predicted model, not a curated record. Lineage: Eukaryota; Metazoa; Arthropoda; Insecta; Coleoptera; Coccinellidae.